This 1543-nucleotide non-coding RNA is filed under the name Nocardiopsis sp. NRRL B-16309. RNAcentral's name for it is "Bacterial large subunit ribosomal RNA". It matches the Rfam family "Bacterial large subunit ribosomal RNA", at positions 1 to 1497 of the family's 2925-position model. The record is from Rfam by way of RNAcentral. Lineage: Bacteria; Bacillati; Actinomycetota; Actinomycetes; Streptosporangiales; Nocardiopsidaceae.
UGGCCAAGUGAUAGUGGCACACGGUGGAUGCCUUGGCAUCAGGCGCCGAUGAAGGACGUGGGAGGCCGCGAUAGGCCACGGGGAGCUGUCAACCGAGCUUUGAUCCGUGGGUGUCCGAAUGGGGAAACCUAGCCCGAGUUGUGUCGGGUUGCCGCCACCUGAAUGUAUAGGGUGGUUGGUGGUGACGCGGGGAAGUGAAACAUCUCAGUACCCGUAGGAAGAGUAAACAACAGUGAUUCCCCUAGUAGUGGUGAGCGAACGGGGAAGAGGCUAAACCGUAUGCGUGUGAUAGACGGCAGUCGUUGCGUGUGCGGGGUUGUGGGGCGCAUCUGUUCGGGUCUGUCGGCCCGGAGCGCUGAUGCUGGUGAUAGUUGAAUCCGUUGGGAAGCGGAACCGUAGUGGGUGAGAGUCCCGUAGACGAAGUUGCCGGCUAGGUGUUGGUGUGUUCCCGAGUAGCGCGGAGCCCGUGAAAUUCCGUGUGAAUCUGGCAGGACCACCUGCUAAGCCAAAAUACGUCCUGAUGACCGAUAGUGCACUAGUACCGUGAGGGAAAGGUGAAAAGUGCCCCGGUGAGGGGUCGUGAAAUAGUACCUGAAACCGUGUGCUGUCAAGCCGUCAGAGCUGAAGCUUGUCUUUGGUGAUGGCGUGCCUUUUGAAGAAUGAGCCUGCGAGUCAUGGUGUGUGGCGAGGUUAACCCGUGUGGGGUAGCCGUAGGGAAACCGAGUCUGAAUAGGGCGUUUGAGUCGCAUGCUGUGGACCCGAAGCGGAGUGAUCUACCCAUGUCCAGGGUGAAGCGGGGGUAAGACCUCGUGGAGGCCCGAACCCACCAGGGUUGAAAACCUGGGGGAUGAGGUGUGGGUAGGGGUGAAAGGCCAAUCAAACUCCGUGAUAGCUGGUUCUCCCCGAAAUGCAUUUAGGUGCAGCGUCACGUGUUUCUUGCUGGAGGUAGAGCUACUGUUUGGCUGAUGGGCCCGACCAGGUUACUGACGUCAGACAAACUCCGAAUGCCGGUGAAGUGAAGCGUGGCAGUGAGACUGCGGGGGAUAAGCUUCGUAGUCGAGAGGGAAACAGCCCAGAUCAUCAGCUAAGGCCCCUAAGCGUGUGCUAAGUGGGAAAGGUUGUGGAGUUGCUGAGACAACCAGGAGGUUGGCUUAGAAGCAGCCAUCCUUUAAAGAGUGCGUAAUAGCUCACUGGUCAAGUGGUUCUGCGCCGAUAAUGUAGCGGGGCUUAAGUACACCGCCGAAGCUGUGAAGCCCAGGACUUGUUUCUGGGUUGGUAGGGGAGCGUCGUGCAUCCGGGGAAGCUGCCGAGUGAUCGUGUGGUGGAGGGUGUGCGAGUGAGAAUGCAGGCAUGAGUAGCGAAAGCAGCGUGAGAAACGUUGCCGCCGAUUGACUAAGGGUUCCUGGGGCAGGUUAAUCCGCCCAGGGUGAGUCUGGACCUAAGGCGAGGCCGACAGGCGUAGUCGAUGGAUAACGGGUUGAUAUUCCCGUACCCGUGCACGAGCGUCCAGUAUCGAGGCGACGGAUGCUAACCACGCUGGCUC